CUCCAGCUGUCUGGGCCUUGUGAAGGGCUUCUGCUGAAACGGCGCUAACAGCUUCUGCUGGAAAAGCUCCAGCAAAUGAGCGUCACAAAACUCAGCAGGGAAGAUCAGCGAAUGAUUACUCCUUUACUCCAAUUUCAUUUCAGUCUUUUUGUCUUUUUCAUGCAGUGAUAUUUGUCAGUCGUGAAUCUCAAAUACAGUACUAUGGUGCGUAGAUUUGAAAAAAAAAGUUGCCUUUCCAAUUUGGUAGAAUUUAUUUUCACUGGUUUUUUUUUUGGACGCUGUUUUGAAAUCGACCGUUUCUCCUCCUUCAGAAAGCUGCUGAAGACAAACCAGCGCAAGACGAACCUGUAUUGAAUUAGACAAUGUUGCAAGAUCAGUUAAUGAAAUAUUGAUAAGAACAUUCCUUCAACACAUGCUGCAGCAGCUGUUCUGGGCUUGGUAUGGAUCAAGGCUAUGGCUAUGGCUUUCCUGUAGAUGGUCAUAAAUUAAGGUGCAGCAAUCCUCUUGAAGUAUACUACAAGAAACAACAACAGCUAAAGGCCUUAAAGAACAGUAAAUAAUUGAAUGCUUGUACUGCUAUUCUUCUGCAUACACUCUACAGUUUCAGGGUCUCAAUUUAUUUUAUUUUUCAAUCAUUUAGUAAAUUUGUGUGAUUUUUUUUUUUGAUAGACCAAACUGAGCUAAAAAUUCCCACCAGAUUUACAAAAAUUAUUCUCUCAUUCUUUGUACUUGCAUAUAUGUUUAGAAACUAUAUCAGCAAUAAAUGACCAAACUCAUUCGCAACACAGCUAAUUUACAUUUACAUGACAAAACUCCUUAUACAACAAAGCUCACAGAGAGCUUGACAAAAGGAUAUUAAACACUUGUGCGCUAAUACGUCCAAUAAUGCAGCUCAGCCACCGCAGCGAAUCAGCUACCAAAGACAUACACCAACGCUUCCCCCUUUUAUAGGGCACCAUUACUUUUGUUCUAAUUGAC
Ictalurus punctatus (channel catfish) is the source of this 978-nucleotide long non-coding RNA. The record is from Ensembl. NCBI's taxonomy places the organism in Eukaryota, Metazoa, Chordata, Actinopteri, Siluriformes, Ictaluridae.